This 3441-nucleotide ribosomal RNA is filed under the name Triticum aestivum (bread wheat). RNAcentral describes it as "partial small subunit ribosomal RNA". The record is from RNAcentral. Lineage: Eukaryota; Viridiplantae; Streptophyta; Magnoliopsida; Poales; Poaceae.
UGGGGGGUGAGCGGGAGUUAAAAACCAUCGGCGUGCGGGGGAGGCGAGAUACGAAGAUACAGCGAGGCGGGGUGAGAGAGAAGUAGCUGCCGCUCGCCACCGGGGAAGAGGCCAGCUAAGUGCCAGCAUCCGUAGCCAAGGUGGCCAGUGUUACGGUUCCUUCACGUUCAAUCUACCACUGUAACUCCUCCAUUUGGGGAAUUUCUUCGUAUUCGGAGGGUGUCUAGCCUUGUCCCGAAGAGGAUCACGAGAACACUGACGGACAUUCCUGUACAGUCUACUCUCUUACAGGCGCUAACUACUGUACCUAAAGUGAUCAGACUCCUUAUAGUUUACACUAUUAGAGAAGUUAGUCGAAAGAGUUACCGAACGACCAGAUAUACUGGGACUAAGUACACUCCAACAAUGGACCAGUGCCUUCCAAUGUACAGUUACUUCUCAGGCACGUAGCCUAUUACCCCACGGGGCUCCACUAUAACGCCACCUAAAUUUCCGAGGAUGUCUACGUGUUGAACUCGAACGCCCUCUAGAAAAACCACUGGAACCUGUAAGAGGAUCUUGACACCUACAUAAUUUAGAAUAGAACUCGUGAUUGCCCGUACUACUGUUGAAGUUCGUGAACACAGAACACGAACGACGGUCGUGACACUACCACGACUGUUGAAGGUUGUUCUAGUCGUGGUCUACCAUAGGACGCAACCAAGUCUAAGACUAGUACUCGUACUACUACCACCGCCACUACCAGUGAGACUGCUUCUAGAUCUAAAAGUGUAAGUAAUGGUGCCAAGAAGUCAACCAAAACUACGAAAGCCAUCGCCACCUGGCUUGCGGGUACUCUGAAGUCCAUCACCCCGUCGCUUACGUCUACACCCACUUUGGUAAAAGCGUUGAGGUUACACAGCUAUUCCAGUCGACCUUAACCACCUUGGUGGUGAGGACGUCCUUGGCUGGUCGGAGAACUCAGAGCCUAAUACGAAUGACGUACAAGGCCCUUACAUAGACCACUACCUAACGUAUUGGUCGGUCUAUGCUGACAAUGAGUUUUACUCCGACAACAACUACGAAGACACUUCUCCACGCCAAGAAGAGAACAGGCAUUGAACCUAUUCUUUAUAAGGUCCGCAGCGUUCCUUAAUGCAGAUGGAAGAGGUGGGUACCGGUGAUCAUGUUGACAGAAACUGGUCGGCAGCAACCUACUAUGUGUAGUAACAUGGUUCCGUUACCAGUAGUUACUCGAACCGUAACAUCCGGGACUAUUCCCGUAAUUGAGUCAUUAACGGCUAGGGUGCGCCUUCUUCGUCGUAGGAGCCUUGCCAAGCCUACGAGGUAGAUAAUCACAACGGCCGGAAGGCGUUUACGCCAGAUGGUCGCACCCGCAGUGUAGACUCCACCAUGGAUCAUUAGAAUGUACAAGAAGCCGUCUACACCUGAGCAGACUGUGCAGUACGUCGUUCUUCUAGUACAACGACACUCUUUCCAAUUCCACAGAAGAUUUCAACGUCAACGUUGAUCCAGAAGAGGAGCAAAGUGAAGGUUCCUAGACUUUCUACUAAAAUUUCUGACGAGCACCAAUGAAGAGGUUAUCGGCAACACGUUCUACUACGGGGACACUCCUUAAGUGGUCUACGACCAAAACCUCGACACCUUGUCGAGCGCCGUCGCCGGUGAUAAUGAGUUCACCAUCUUCUCUAACGGUUACAACAAGAAUCGUGAGUUGGACUUUGAAAACAACUAGUUCGAGUUCCUUUACGAGGAUGUCCAUCACAAUGGUAUCGACUUCUACGGGUUCGAGGACGGUUUCGUGGUACACAACAAGUUAGAGUUCAACUUAGACGGGUUAGGUGAUACCUUCUUGGUCAACUUUGACUUCGACGUCAUCCACACCUUCGAGUUCGACCCCUACUGGUUCAGUGGUGGGUUCUUAAGUCGUCAUUACAUCUACAUCUUCUACAACGACGAUUCUCCCGGAUGACCCUAAAGUGUGGUGGUAGAACGAGAGAACCGGAUCUAAAACCGGAAUGUGGCGGUCGUGAUCUAUAAUGAUGCUGUCGGCGUCAGGGUCGACGUCAUGGUCGUGGCCGGGGUCACCAAGAAAGCUGUUGAGUUCGUGGUCAUCACCUGGGUCGCCUAUUGUUACGAGGGGUUCUUGGUCGUUGUCGUAGGGGUUAACUAGUCUGCUGCCGUCGUGGAGUCCUAAAUUUCUUACGUUCUCUAUUAGAACAACUGCGAUUCGGCCAAAGUACGAGAAUCGGACGACUGUAACUCGCAGUUCAAGCUCAAAUACUAAAACUACAACUUCUGUUACUACAUUAACACACCCAACUUUUUCAGCUUGCACGGUCACAUGUUUAAUACGAAGACAUUUUCUGGUGGGGGUAGUCGGGACUUAAACAAUGUGGUCAAUAAGUUGGAGGGUAACCAUAAGUAGUCGGUCACACUGAGGAUUUAGCAUGUAAGCCUUUCAAUCCCAUUGGGCGGGUAGCGUCAAAGAUGACGGAGGUAUAACACCGGAGUACCGUAGACGUGAGUUUCUCCGAUAAAUGCGUCUUCAAUAGUUCGUGUGGUGACUAAGUCAACUGAGGUCCUAUUUUGUAUAAUCCCAAUAACUGUAGCUACCCACCACCCAGUGUAACCUCCUCGAACGAUUAUCACACUUUCUUCCACCAGUACAAAGCUUAUUAUAACGUCUCAACGUGUAGGCUUGAGAACGGCUAAAACAUGGGGUCCCUUCUAAUAAAAAGGCACCAACGAUAGUCAUAUAGAGGAGCAUCCACUAAAGUUCUCGUUCACGGAUUAGUUUGUAAAGGCAGCACUAGCUUUGAUGUAUGAAUCAGUGGUUUUAGUCUUAUAUCGGGAAGCGAAUAGUGUUUACGCUGCUUCGAAUACUUACCAUAAUUUUUUCGGAUCAACUAACACAUGUUCCUUAGCUCAUUGGUCUAGGUUCUGAUACUAGAACACAUGUAGCUACACAAGUUUGUCCUGUUACCGUGACUAACGCCAAAGAAGCGCAAGUUCUAGAACCUCAAGACCCUACCAUUUUAUACAGCCGUUAUUGAGUCCUCGUCUAGGGCCGCAACUCCUUCUAUAACUGUUCGUACACCGACCUGGUAGGAGUAUUGUCUACGUGCGUCACCGCGAUAGUGAACAAGUUAUUCUUCAUUAACUCUAAAAACUUCCGUUCUUUGUGUCCCCACUAACCGUUCUUGUAAUUUGUCCUAUUAAUGUCAUGUUGUACUCGUAGAGGUAAUUUUCCGUGGUGAAAAGAAAUAGGUUACCAUCAAGAAUUGUUUUCACCUACUAUUGAAAAUGAUACAUGUCUAACCCUUGAACAAAAGAAGUACGUUAUAUCGUAACAUCUGUCUUUUUACUUGGAUAACAUUACGUAAAAGGUAGCAUCCUGACAUACUAAAAACACUAGUUACUUCCAAGGAGAAAAGAAAU